Molecule: ribosomal RNA, 254 nt
Filed under: uncultured bacterium
Lineage: Bacteria
Description: partial 16S ribosomal RNA
Rfam family: Bacterial small subunit ribosomal RNA
Source: RNAcentral
UACGAAGGGGGCUAGCGUUGUUCGGAUUUACUGGGCGUAAAGCGCACGUAGGCGGAUUGUUAAGUGAGAGGUGAAAUCCCGGAGCUCAACUCCGGAACUGCCUUUCAUACUGGCAAUCUAGAGUCCGGAAGAGGUGAGUGGAACUCCUAGUGUAGAGGUGGAAUUCGUAGAUAUUAGGAAGAACACCAGUGGCGAAGGCGGCUCACUGGUCCGGUACUGACGCUGAGGUGCGAAAGCGUGGGGAGCAAACAGGG